UUUAAUGAGAGUUUGAUCCUGGCUCAGGACGAACGCUGGCGGCGUGCCUAAUACAUGCAAGUAGAACGCUGAAGGAGGAGCUUGCUUCUCUGGAUGAGUUGCGAACGGGUGAGUAACGCGUAGGUAACCUGCCUGGUAGCGGGGGAUAACUAUUGGAAACGAUAGCUAAUACCGCAUAAUAGUAGAUGUUGCAUGACAUUUGCUUAAAAGAUGCAAUUGCAUCACUACCAGAUGGACCUGCGUUGUAUUAGCUAGUUGGUGGGGUAACGGCUCACCAAGGCGACGAUACAUAGCCGACCUGAGAGGGUGAUCGGCCACACU
Molecule: ribosomal RNA, 321 nt
Filed under: Streptococcus vulneris
Lineage: Bacteria; Bacillati; Bacillota; Bacilli; Lactobacillales; Streptococcaceae
Description: bacterial SSU rRNA
Rfam family: Bacterial small subunit ribosomal RNA
Source: RNAcentral